This 372-nucleotide unclassified non-coding RNA is filed under the name soil metagenome. Its description in RNAcentral is "partial contains 5.8S ribosomal RNA, internal transcribed spacer 2, and large subunit ribosomal RNA". The stretch from base 1 to 121 matches the Rfam family "5.8S ribosomal RNA", at positions 35 to 154 of the family's 154-position model. The record is from RNAcentral.
GAUGAAGAACGUAGCGAAAUGCGAUAAGUAAUGCGAAUUGCAGAAUUCCAGUGAGUCAUCGAAUCUUUGAACGCACAUUGCGCCCUUUGGUAUUCCGAAGGGCAUGCCUGUUCGAGCGUCAUUAUCACCCCUCAAGCCCUCGGCUUGGUGUUGGACGGUUUGGUGGAGGCCCCCUCGGGGGUUCCUGCCCCUCCCAAAGACAAUGACGGCGGCCUCGUUGGACCCCCGGUACACUGAGUUCUUCACGGGACACGUAUCGGACACAUGGGUUUACGGGACACGGUCUGCCUCCCCUCAGGGAGAAUCUUUCUAAGGUUGACCUCGGAUCAGGUAGGGAUACCCGCUGAACUUAAGCAUAUCAAUAAGCGGAGG